RNAcentral lists this ribosomal RNA (563 nucleotides) under uncultured bacterium. Its description in RNAcentral is "bacterial SSU rRNA". It matches the Rfam family "Bacterial small subunit ribosomal RNA", at positions 337 to 916 of the family's 1533-position model. The record is from RNAcentral.
UCCUACGGGAGGCAGCAGCAACGAAUAUUCCGCAAUGGGCGAAAGCCUGACGGAGCAAUGCCGCGUGUGGGAUGAAUCGGCUACGCCGUGUAAACCACUGUCAGGGUGCAGGAACACUGACCGCACCCAGAGGAAGGGCCGGCUAACCUCGUGCCAGCAGCCGCGGUAAUACGAGGGGCCCGAGCGUUACUCGGAAUCACUGGGCUUAAAGCGUACGCAGGCGGACUGGUAGGCAUUUUGUGAAAACCCACGGCUCAACCGUGGAACAGCAGAGUGAACCACCAGUCUUGAGGCAGGUAGGGGUCGAUGGAACCAUGAGUGGAGCGGUGAAAUGCGUAGAUAUUCAUGGGAACGCCAAUGGCGAAGGCAGUCGACUGGGCCUGUCCUGACGCUCAGGUACGAAAGCGUGGGGAGCAAACAGGAUUAGAUACCCUGGUAGUCCACGCCGUAAACGAUGUGCACUAGAUCGGGGAGGCUCUCACNCCCUCCCGGUCGANNGAAAACCGUUNNGNGNACCGCCUGGGGAGUACGGUCGCAAGGCUAAAACUCAAAUGAAUUGACGG